CUGACGAGUGGCGGACGGGUGAGUAAUGCUUGGGAAUCUGGCUUAUGGAGGGGGAUAACGACGGGAAACUGUCGCUAAUACCGCGUAUUAUCGGAAGAUUAAAGUGUGGGACCUUGGGGCCACAUGCCAUAGGAUGAGCCCAAGUGGGAUUAGGUAGUUGGUGGGGUAAAGGCCUACCAAGCCUGCGAUCUCUAGCUGGUCUGAGAGGAUGACCAGCCACACUGGAACUGAGACACGGUCCAGACUCCUACGGGAGGCAGCAGUGGGGAAUAUUGCGCAAUGGGGGGAACCCUGACGCAGCCAUGCCGCGUGAAUGAAGAAGGCCUUAGGGUUGUAAAGUUCUUUCGGUAUUGAGGAAGGUUGAUGUGUUAAUAGCACAUCAAAUUGACGUUAAAUACAGAAGAAGCACCGGCUAACUCCGUGCCAGCAGCCGCGGUAAUACGGAGGGUGCGAGCGUUAAUCGGAAUAACUGGGCGUAAAGGGCACGCAGGCGGUUAUUUAAGUGAGGUGUGAAAGCCCCGGGCUUAACCUGGGAAUUGCAUUUCAGACUGGGUAACUAGAGUACUUUAGGGAGGGGUAGAAUUCCACGUGUAGCGGU
This 598-nucleotide ribosomal RNA is filed under the name Haemophilus influenzae. RNAcentral's name for it is "bacterial SSU rRNA". It matches the Rfam family "Bacterial small subunit ribosomal RNA", at positions 88 to 682 of the family's 1533-position model. Lineage: Bacteria; Pseudomonadati; Pseudomonadota; Gammaproteobacteria; Pasteurellales; Pasteurellaceae. The record is from RNAcentral.